RNAcentral lists this ribosomal RNA (325 nucleotides) under uncultured eukaryote. Its description in RNAcentral is "partial 18S ribosomal RNA". It matches the Rfam family "Eukaryotic small subunit ribosomal RNA", at positions 1470 to 1796 of the family's 1831-position model. The record is from RNAcentral.
CCCUUAGAUGUUCUGGGCUGCACGCGCGCUACACUGAAGCGUUCAACGAGUAUUCACCUUGCCCGGGAGGGUUGGGUAAUCUUUUGAAAACGCUUCGUGAUGGGGAUAGAUUAUUGCAAUUAUUAAUCUUCAACGAGGAAUUCCUAGUAAGCGCGAGUCAUCAGCUCGUGCUGAUUACGUCCCUGCCCUUUGUACACACCGCCCGUCGCUACUACCGAUUGAGUGAUCCGGUGAAUAAUUCGGACUGCAGCACUGCUUGGUCUCCAGGCUUUGCAGCGGAAAGUUUAGUGAACCUUAUCACUUAGAGGAAGGAGAAGUCGUAACA